RNAcentral lists this ribosomal RNA (251 nucleotides) under uncultured bacterium. Its description in RNAcentral is "partial 16S ribosomal RNA". It matches the Rfam family "Bacterial small subunit ribosomal RNA", at positions 524 to 776 of the family's 1533-position model. The record is from RNAcentral.
UACGGAGGGGGCUAGCGUUGUUCGGAAUUACUGGGCGUAAAGCGCACGUAGGCGGCUUGUAAGUUAGAGGUGAAAGCCUGGUGCUCAACACCAGAACUGCCUUUAAGACUGCAUCGCUUGAAUCAUGGAGAGGCGGGUGGAAUUCCGAGUGUAGAGGUGAAAUUCGUAGAUAUUCGGAAGAACACCAGUGGCGAAGGCGGCCCGCUGGACAUGUAUUGACGCUGAGGUGCGAAAGCGUGGGAGCAAACAGG